This 46-nucleotide non-coding RNA is filed under the name Schistosoma margrebowiei. The record is from RNAcentral. Lineage: Eukaryota; Metazoa; Platyhelminthes; Trematoda; Strigeidida; Schistosomatidae.
CUGCUGCUGACGUGUCGUAUACUAGGACGAAACGGCCUUCCAGUAC